AUUGAACGCUGGCGGCAUGCCUUACACAUGCAAGUCGAACGGCAGCAUGAUCUAGCUUGCUAGAUUGAUGGCGAGUGGCGAACGGGUGAGUAAUACAUCGGAACGUGCCCUGUAUUGGGGGAUAACUAGUCGAAAGAUUAGCUAAUACCGCAUACGACCUGAGGGUGAAAGUGGGGGACCGCAAGGCCUCAUGCUAUAGUAGCGGCGGAUGUCUGAUUAGCUAGUUGGUGGGGUAAAGGCCCACCAAGGCGACGAGCAGUAGCUGGUCUGAGAGGACGAUCGGCCACACUGGGACUGGGACACGGCCCAGACUCCUACGGGAGGCAGCAGUGGGGAAUGUUGGACAAUGGGGGCAACCCUGAUCCAGCAAUGCCGCGUGUGUGAAGAAGGCCUUCGGGUUGUAAAGCACUUUUGUCCGGAAAGAAAUCGCACUUACUAAUAUUAGGUGUGGAUGACGGUACCGGAAGAAUAAGGACCGGCUAACUACGUG
RNAcentral lists this ribosomal RNA (490 nucleotides) under uncultured bacterium. RNAcentral describes it as "partial 16S ribosomal RNA". It matches the Rfam family "Bacterial small subunit ribosomal RNA", at positions 30 to 507 of the family's 1533-position model. The record is from RNAcentral.